Molecule: ribosomal RNA, 849 nt
Filed under: uncultured bacterium
Lineage: Bacteria
Description: bacterial SSU rRNA
Rfam family: Bacterial small subunit ribosomal RNA
Source: RNAcentral
UCCUGGCUCAGAUUGAACGCUGGCGGCAGGCCUAACACAUGCAAGUCGAGCGGUAGCAGGAAGUGCUUGCACUUCGCUGACGAGCGGCGGACGGGUGCGUAACACGUAGGAAUCUGCCCGGUAGUGGGGGAUAGCCCGGAGAAAUUCGGAUUAAUACCGCAUACGCCCUAAGGGGGAAAGCAGGGGAUCGGUUCGCCGACCUUGCGCUAUCGGAUGAGCCUGCGUCGGAUUAGCUUGUUGGUGGGGUAAAAGCCUACCAAGGCAACGAUCCAUAGCUGGUCUGAGAGGAUGAUCAGCCACACUGGGACUGAGACACGGCCCAGACUCCUACGGGAGGCAGCAGUGGGGAAUAUUGCACAAUGGGCGAAAGCCUGAUGCAGCCAUGCCGCGUGUGUGAAGAAGGCCCUAGGGUUGUAAAGCACUUUCAGUGGGGAGGAAAAGUUGAAGGUUAAUACCCUUCAGCUGUGACGUUACCCACAGAAGAAGCACCGGCUAACUCCGUGCCAGCAGCCGCGGUAAUACGGAGGGUGCGAGCGUUAAUCGGAAUUACUGGGCGUAAAGCGUGCGUAGGCGGCUUUUUAAGUUGGAUGUGAAAGCCCCGGGCUCAACCUGGGAACUGCAUCCAAAACUGGAAGGCUCGAGUGCGAGAGAGGAGUGUGGAAUUUCCUGUGUAGCGGUGAAAUGCGUAGAUAUAGGAAGGAACACCAGUGGCGAAGGCGACACUCUGGCUUGACACUGACGCUGAGGUACGAAAAGCGUGGGGAGCAACAGGAUUAGAUACCCUGGUAGUCCACGCCGUAAACGAUGUCUACUAGUUGUCGGUGGUCUUGUACUGCUGGUAACGCAGCU